GAGUUGAUCGUGGCUCAGAGCGAACGCUGGCGGCAGGCCUAACACAUGCAAGUCGAACGGACCCUUCGGGGUUAGUGGCGGACGGGUGAGUAACACGUGGGAACGUGCCUUUAGGUUCGGAAUAGCUCCUGGAAACGGGUGGUAAUGCCGAAUGUGCCCUUCGGGGGAAAGAUUUAUCGCCUUUAGAGCGGCCCGCGUCUGAUUAGCUAGUUGGUGAGGUAACGGCUCACCAAGGCGACGAUCAGUAGCUGGUCUGAGAGGAUGACCAGCCACACUGGGACUGAGACACGGCCCAGACUCCUACGGGAGGCAGCAGGUGGGGAAUCUUGCGCAAGUGGGCGAAAGCUGACGCAGCCAUGCCGCGUGAAUGAUGAAGUCUUAGGA
RNAcentral lists this ribosomal RNA (384 nucleotides) under uncultured bacterium. RNAcentral describes it as "bacterial SSU rRNA". It matches the Rfam family "Bacterial small subunit ribosomal RNA", at positions 9 to 421 of the family's 1533-position model. The record is from RNAcentral.